Molecule: microRNA precursor, 90 nt
Organism: Xenopus tropicalis (tropical clawed frog)
Lineage: Eukaryota; Metazoa; Chordata; Amphibia; Anura; Pipidae
Gene: xtr-mir-29c
Product: xtr-mir-29c
Source: Ensembl
UCCCUUACACAGGAUGACCGAUCUCUCUUGGUGUUCAGAGGCUCAGGUCUUCAUCUAGCACCAUUUGAAAUCGGUUAUAAUGUAAGGUGA